CCCUUAGAUGUUCUGGGCCGCACGCGUGCUGCACUGAGUGGAUCAGCGGGUCAGGUUGCGCGAAAGUGUUUCCUAAUCUUGAAAUCCGCUCGUGAUGGGGAUUGACGGUUGCAAUUUUCCGUCAUGAACGAGGAAUACCUUGUAAGCGCGGGUCAUCAUCCCGCGCUGAAUACGUCCCUGCCCUUUGUACACACCGGCCGUCGCUCCUACCGAUUGAGUGGUCCGGUGAGGCUUUGGGAUCUGAGCGGAAAGAGCGUUUCGCUGUUUCUGCUCGGAAAACUCAGUCGAACCUUAUCAUUUAGAGGAAGGAGAAGUCGUAACA
Molecule: ribosomal RNA, 322 nt
Filed under: uncultured eukaryote
Lineage: Eukaryota
Description: partial 18S ribosomal RNA
Rfam family: Eukaryotic small subunit ribosomal RNA
Source: RNAcentral